Molecule: non-coding RNA, 145 nt
Organism: Podarcis lilfordi (Lilford's wall lizard)
Lineage: Eukaryota; Metazoa; Chordata; Lepidosauria; Squamata; Lacertidae
Source: the annotation of a GenBank genome assembly
UGGAUCUGAUGGAGAGAGAGUAAGGAAUUGAGUUAAAAUAUAAAAGCUAAAUUAUGUCUGGUUUAAGUUUUGGAGUGUGUGUGUGUGUGUGUGUGUGUGUGUGUGUGUGUGUUUGGUCCCAGCUCCUGCCCACCUAGCAGUUCGA